RNAcentral lists this ribosomal RNA (254 nucleotides) under uncultured bacterium. RNAcentral describes it as "partial 16S ribosomal RNA". It matches the Rfam family "Bacterial small subunit ribosomal RNA", at positions 524 to 776 of the family's 1533-position model. The record is from RNAcentral.
UACGGAGGGGGCAAGCGUUGUUCGGAUUUACUGGGCGUAAAGGGCGCGUAGGCGGUCAGCACAAGUCAGUUGUGAAAUCUCCGGGCUUAACUCGGAAAGGUCAACUGAUACUGUGCGACUAGAGUGCGGAAGGGGCAACUGGAAUUCUCGGUGUAGCGGUGAAAUGCGUAGAUAUCGAGAGGAACACCUGCGGCGAAGGCGGGUUGCUGGGCCGACACUGACGCUGAUGCGCGAAAGCCAGGGGAGCGAACGGG